CCCGAUCUUCCUUUCUCCCUCUCUCUCUCUCUCUCGCAUGCUCUCUGCUAGGCCCGAACAACGACGGCAGGGGCUCGGGGAAUGGUGGUCGACGGCGGCAGGGGGAUCGGGGUCAGGCUGUUUGGCGGCAGGGGGGUCGGGGUCGGGCUGUUCGGCGAAAGGGGGCUCGGGGCUGGGCUCGACAGCAACGAUUGGUGGCUCGGAGCUGGGCUCGACAGCAACGACUGGUGGCUCGGGGCUGGGCUCGACGGCGGGUGGGGGGUUUCAGGUCUGGGCUCGACGGCGCAGGGGCUGGGCAGAGGGCUGUUUGGCUUCGGUGCUGAACGUUUCAAAGAACAACACAUUGUUGAAUGAUUUUACUGCUAUUUUUAGAGAAAUGAAGCCCUUCGUGUUGCUUUUAUUGAUGAGGUUGAAACACUAAAGGAUGGUAAAGUACAGAAGGAAUAUUUCUCAAAGCUCGUUAAGGGUGAUAUCAAUGGGAAGGACAAGGAAAUCUACUCUAUAAAAUUGCCUGGAAAUCCAAAACUUGGUGAAGGAAAACCUGAGAAUCAAAAUCAUGCAAUUGUAUUCACUCGUGGAAAUGCAGUCCAAACAAUUGACAUGAAUUAGGAUAACUAUUUUGAGGAAGCUUUGAAAAUGAGAAACCUACUUGAAGAAUUCCAUCGUGACCAUGGCAUUCGUCCUGCUACAAUUCUUGGUGUUAGGGAGCAUGUCUUUACUGGAAGUGUCUCUUCUUUAGCCUCAUUCAUGUCAAACCAAGAGACAAGCUUUGUGACAUUAGGUCAGCGUGUUUUAUCAACUCCUUUGAAGGUCCGUAUGCAUUAUGGACAUCCUGAUGUUUUUGAUAGAGUUUUUCAUAUAACACAGGGUGGUAUCAGCAAGGCCUCUCAUGUCAUCAAUAUUAGUGAAGAUAGAUUUGCAGGUAACUUUCUUAGAUUUAGGAGAGUCCCAUUUACAUGGUUUUCCAUCUUGAGCAAUUUUUUGUAUUUUGUUCCCAAGUAAGGAGUAUGAUGGUAUAUCAACAUUGUUCUUGCCAGGAGCUUUUUUAGAUGAGGUGUAAUCACUGGAAUUCUUAUCAUUCUAGGUUUCAUAGAUUUUUCUUUAGGCAGUUAAGUAUGUUAAAUUUAAGGUAUUGGAGUUGGGUCUCGAACCACAUCACAUGGGCCGACACUUUUGGCAAGAUUCUUGUUUGAAAUAAAACAAAAAUCUAGUCACAAACAACAUGAUAUUCUGUAUCAAAAAUGGGUAUUAGUUUGAUUUUACAA
Long non-coding RNA from Humulus lupulus (European hop), 1265 nucleotides. RefSeq lists it as uncharacterized. Lineage: Eukaryota; Viridiplantae; Streptophyta; Magnoliopsida; Rosales; Cannabaceae. The transcript has 6 exons. The record is from RefSeq and is a predicted model, not a curated record.